AUGAACUCCGGGGAAGGAGCCUCAGCUGAUCAGACUCGUCAAGCACCUCUACCUCCGGCGGCGGUGGCACAGCCAAGGUGUUCGACGAAGUGCGUCACGGACCCCGCUGCUUCCGAGACACCCGGCCGUGGGCGGACAUCCUCGGCGUUGGAGACGCAGCACCGGCCGUGGGCGGACCUCCCGGCGGACAUCCUCGGCGUCGUGGUCACCCGCCUCGCCCUUGUGGAGGACCGCGCCAGGCUGCGCUCGCCGCCGCCGCCGCUGCCCCUGCUCGUGCUGGCCGACUUCUCGUUCGCCAGCUUCAGAGCGGAUGGGAUCUUGACGGGCGCGCGCCUCCGCGUCCCGCUGCCGGAGACGGAGACGGAGACGGUGGAGGCUGGCGGCGUGCGCUGCGUGGGCUCGAUCGAGGGAUGGCUCGUGGCCGUGGAGCGCGACAAAAGCCGUGACUUUGGUGGUGGUGACCUCCGGUGCUUCUUGAUGAACGCCUUCUCCCAGGAUGUCGUCCCUCUCCCGCCUCCUUCCGCAGCCACCCACCCCGCCGACGAACACAGCAUGUCUCUCCCCAUCGCCAAUGGCGACUCUGGUAUGGAGAUGAACAUGAAUUGCGCGAUCAAUGCCGCCCAGUGUGUGAUGUCUUUUCGCAAGGUGAUCCUGUCAUCUUCGCCCGAGUCGGGCACCGGUUGUGUCGUGGCUGCCAUCUCCAUGGCCGAGGGCACCACUAAGCUUGCUCUCUGGCGACCUGGAAUGGAGUCAUGGUGCGUGUGCUACGGCAGUUGUGUCAGUAAGUUCACCGACGUCAUCUUCAUCCAGGGGAAGCUCUACAUGCUCAGUUGCAGCGACCUCACCACAGACCUCUUUUCCCUUGAGCUCUCCGAAGACGACGACGACAGCGGCCUCAUGGUUUCUCGUGUUGAGUGUCGCGAAAUCGAAUGGCCUGAAGUCACUGAUGGAUAUCACCAGAAUUGGAGCAUAGUAGAGUGGCGUGGAAAGCUGUUGAUAGUUGCGACAUACACGGCCGAGGAUGACGACGUUUGGCAGAGAAUUGUUGAGGUUAGGGUAUUCGAGGCGCACUUGAGCACAGACCCUGUCAGAUUCACAGAGAUCAGGAGCUUGGAUGGGGACUGCAUCUUCAUCAGCCCAUGCAGCUGCGAGUCAUUCCGUUCGUGUCAUUAUGAUGGACUUGAAGCUGAUCUUGUCUACUUCAUUGAUGGUUACCUCCCCCCUGAUAAAAAUGCCCGCCCUUUUUAUAAGUUUGUGUACAACACGAGAGAUGGUACAAUGGCACCGUUUGCUGAAGGCAUACCAAAGGACAAGCUUCGGACGCCAGAUGGCAUACUGAAGCAUCCAACAUGGCUAUUUCCUCCUGAAUAAACUGCUGCAGAUCAGCUCUGUUUCUGUGAUCCUACUGAGUCUUACUGUACGAAGCACCAAUGCUUGAUUGGGGCCAGGCGCCAUAAUGUUAAUUGUAUUUCUGAGAGCUAAAACAAGUGUGCUAUUGUUUUAUGUCUGAUUCAGGUGAUUUUUUUUAGUAGUAAACUUGUGUGUGCUUAAACUGUUUUCAAGUUCCUACGAGACAUUUUAGUGCUUUGGCACUUGUUGGGGGAGUUUUCAGUUCCUAUGUAAGUAUCUACAUGAGGAAUGGUUUUCACA
Setaria italica (foxtail millet) is the source of this 1650-nucleotide RNA transcript. RefSeq lists it as uncharacterized. NCBI's taxonomy places the organism in Eukaryota, Viridiplantae, Streptophyta, Magnoliopsida, Poales, Poaceae. The transcript is spliced from 2 exons. The record is from RefSeq and is a predicted model, not a curated record.